Molecule: ribosomal RNA, 65 nt
Filed under: uncultured bacterium
Lineage: Bacteria
Description: partial 16S ribosomal RNA
Source: RNAcentral
UGAGGAACAUGACCUUCGGCGGGGGAUAGCCGGCCCAACGGCCGGGUAAUACCGCGUACGACCAC